This 858-nucleotide long non-coding RNA is filed under the name Gallus gallus (chicken). Lineage: Eukaryota; Metazoa; Chordata; Aves; Galliformes; Phasianidae. The record is from RNAcentral.
CCUGACUACAGGAGGAAACUUACAUCCCAGUGGGGAAUAAGCCUCAGAAAGGCAACAUACUUGAGCAAAGAAAAAAGGUAAGGAAAAAGCUAAAAAACCAAAUACUAAGAACUAAGUUGUUGGGCUUUUUUUUUUUUUUGUUCUUAGGGCAGAAGGAAGUAUAGAUGUAAUGGUGAAAGGAGACAUGAUGACACUAAAUUGCUCAAGGCAAAAAUAAACAGCAGAAGCAGUAUCGCUCUCAGGCCAGCAGUAAACUAAACCCAAGAAAAACAUUCUUAAGAAUAUGAUGAUGUGUCUCAGUUUGGCUGCUGUGUUUAUUGCUGUACUCAGGUGUUAAACCAGUUGCCUGGGAAACCUCAGGAACAGUGCAUGAGAUGGACAAAACAGCUGAACUUUGAACAGAGGGGCUGACUGAGAAAAACGUGUUUGCUGCUCAGACAUUUGCAAAGAUUACAAUGUAGAGAACUUGCUGCAGUGGUUGCCUGUCUCCUCUUCCAGCUUCAAGUUUGCAGUUGCUGUUAAUUAGUGUAACUUCACCUGAAACAAUGUGAAGCUGUUUCCAUCAAUCUGAGGAUAUAGACCAAGCUCCUGUCUUCAAAUUGCAACAAAGCCCUGUAACAGAUCUCAGAUACAGAAAACCUAGGAAAGCAGCUUUCUGAAAGUCAAGGAUACUCCACAAAUUCCACAGGAGACUUGCUGCUGGCCACUUACUAUUUGGAAAUCACAGGACAAGUAUCAGCACCAAAAAAAGAGCAUCAUGGUGUGUGCAUAGUGUGCACAGUGUGCAGGCUAAAAUGAAACACAGUGGUUUUUACACAUAUUAUUCCUCCAAAAAACCCAACCCAGCGGCAUCAUAAU